AAUCACUCAGCUGACGGGCAGGCUCCUUAUCGUGGAUGCAGGAGAGGGACCACCAGAAAGGCCCCACCAAAAAAAAGCACAUCUGGGCAGAGAAUGUCGGAACAGAAGAGCUAUGUUGUCCCUUGCACCUUGAAGUGAUGAGCAUUCGCAGAUCUCCUGACCUCAGCCUGGGGCUGCUGACGGUUCAGGUCCAUUUCAGAGAGAGAGAGAGCAACAUGCACGGGAUGAACCUCAAAAGAGAAAUUCUCUGUGAGUCUGAGGUUUUCCUCUGCUACUCCUCAGCCUCUCGUGCUUUCUGUUUGUUCAUCUCUCUCCUCUCUUGUAGCUGAGACAGGCUGUCUAGACAUUGCAGAUGUGGACAGAUGUUGGGUCUGUAAUUUAUAACAACGGCCUCCAGAAGGCAAUUCCAAUUUGUUUCGAUGUGAACUCUCUGCACUGGACUCCUGCUGCUGGCUGCCCAGCCUCCCAUCAUGGUGGUCUCUUUUCCUUCCGGAACACAGGCUCAAGGAAACUCUUUCUUCUCUCAGUUGCCUUGGCUAUGGUGUUUUAUCACAGCAACAGAAAAGUAACUAAGACAGAUAGGGAGCUGGCCAAGUCUGCAUGCUCACAAGAUUUUCCCAAGGUGCAUCAUGUCCACAGACAGCUGUAGUAGGAGCUGGAGUGAAGGCCAGCCUGGCAGUUUUGCAAGUCUUUCCUGGAGGCUGUUUCCAGAGUGGCACCUUUAGACCUCCAGGAAAGGCAGACAUGGCGGGAACGUGCUUUGUAACCACAAGCAUCCAGCAAAGAAGAAGCUAGAGACCUAAGUGUGUUCCACCACUGCCCAGGCUGACUCCUGGGUUUGUAAAACUCUGAGCUCUGAGUAUCUACCUGCUCCUUGAAGACAUUUGUGAAAGGUCUUCCUUCUCUGUGCCUGGUGCAUUCAACUCUGAUACCUUCAGAGGUGAGUGGAUUUCCAUUUCCAGAGAAUAAAAAAAAUGAGCAGAAGCCCUGCUGAACCUGGGGGCCACUAAGAAGAUGCCUCAGAGCCCCGGGCCGCAGUUAAGGUGACGAGAUGCAGCAAUUCUUUAUGAACAUUUCAUUCCUGCUCGCUACACGACGUAAAUUAGAUGGUGUGUUACAUUCGGGCAAUAAGAGAGAUAUGUCACCACGACGCUGGCCCAUUGGAUGGAGAGGGGGUUUGGCGAAGAGCGGAAAGGAUUUCACCCUGAUGUGCACACUACUGAGUGACCCCGCUCACCAGCGGCUCCGCUGAUUGCUUUGUACCUUGCAGACUUCCAUACUGGCUCAGCCUCUUGCCGGCCUCGCUCCCUCCGGGUCUCCAGCCCACCCCGCCCCUGCCUGGCUUUCUCUUGAAGCCAAAGCCAAGAGACCUACCAGAGGAGUCACAAAGGUCAUGAAGGGAUGUCUCUGUGGGGAGGAGCAAGGCGGCAGAGCAAACACCAAAAUAAAACAAAAA
Molecule: long non-coding RNA, 1456 nt
Filed under: Mus pahari (shrew mouse)
Lineage: Eukaryota; Metazoa; Chordata; Mammalia; Rodentia; Muridae
Description: lncRNA (MGP_PahariEiJ_G0004220.1)
Source: RNAcentral